This 58-nucleotide transfer RNA is filed under the name Oberthuerella sharkeyi. RNAcentral's name for it is "tRNA-Pro". The record is from RNAcentral. Lineage: Eukaryota; Metazoa; Arthropoda; Insecta; Hymenoptera; Liopteridae.
CAAAAAAUAGUUUAAUAAAAACUUUAAUUUUGGAAAUUAAUGAUAUAUAAUUUUCAGA